This 3636-nucleotide ribosomal RNA is filed under the name Ruehmaphelenchus juliae. Its description in RNAcentral is "eukaryotic LSU rRNA". The stretch from base 1 to 1721 matches the Rfam family "Eukaryotic small subunit ribosomal RNA". The record is from RNAcentral. Lineage: Eukaryota; Metazoa; Nematoda; Chromadorea; Rhabditida; Aphelenchoididae.
UCUAAGUGGAGUAUUAUAAAGCGAAACUGCGAACGGCUCAUUAUAACAGAUAUAACUUACUAGUUCUUGUUUCUAUAUGGAUAACUGCGGUAAUUCUGGAGCCAAUACAUGCAUUAAGCCGCUGCCUUCGGGUUAGCGGUGCAAUUAUUGGAGCAAAACCAGUCUCGUACUGUUUGCUAACUCUGGAUAAUUCUGCUUAUCGCAUGGUCUCGUACCGGCGAAGUAACUUUCAGGUAUCUGCUUUAUCAACUAUCGUUGGUAGUUUAUUGGACUACCAUGGUGUUGACGGGUAACGGAGAAUCAGGGUUUGACUCCGGAGAGGGAGCCUUAGAAACGGCUACCAUGUCUAAGGAUAGCAGCAGGCGCGAAAAUUACCCAAUAUCAAAACGAUGAGGUAGUGACGAGAAAUAACGAGAUCGUUCUCUUUGAGGUCGAUUAUUGGAAUGAGUACAAUUCAGAAAAUUUAACGAGUAUCUACGAGAGGGCAAGUCUGGUGCCAGCAGCCGCGGUAAUUCCAGCUCUCGUAAUGUAUAGAAUUAUUGUUGCGAUUAAAAAGUUCGUAGUUGGAUUGUAACGCGGCCAUGGGUCCAUCCUCGUGAUGUGUACUCAAUGGUCGCAUUUUGCUGGUUUUCGAGGCGUCGUUUCGGCGGCGCUCUUGAUGCCAGCAGGAUUACUUUGAACGGCUCAAGUGCUUAAAGCAAGUCUUAUGACUGAAUACCGGUGCAUGGAAUAAUGGAAGAAGGUUGCGGCCGAGUUUUAUUGGUUUUGUCGGCUGAAACAAUGGUUAACAGAAACAGCCGGGGGCAUUCGUAUCGCUGCGCGAGAGGUGAAAUUCGUGGACCGUAGCGAGACGCCCGACAGCGAAGGCAUUUGCCAAGAGUGUUUUCAUUAAUCAAGAACGAAAGUCAGAGGUUCGAAGGCGAUUAGAUACCGCCCUAGUUCUGACCGUAAACGAUGCCAACUGUCGAUCCGCUUGUGGAUUCAAUUCAUGAGCGGGGAGAUUCCCGGAAACGAAAGUUUUUCGGUUUCGGGGGAAGUAUGGUUGCAAAGCUGAAACUUAAAGGAAUUGACGGAAGGGCACCACCAGGAGUGGAGCUUGCGGCUUAAUUUGACUCAACACGGGAAAUCUCACCCGGCCAGUACAUCGUAAGGAUUGACAGACUGACAGCUCUUUCAUGAUUCGGUGAAUGGUGGUGCAUGGCCGUUCUUAGUUCGUGGAUUGAUUUGUCUGGUUUAUUCCGAUAACGAGCGAGACUUUGACUAUUAAAUAGUGCACUCGUUGCUUCGGCUGCGAGCGAUCACUUCUUAAAGGAAUUUGUGGUUUCCAACCUCAAGAAAUUGAGCAAUAACAGGUCUGUGAUGCCCUUAGAUGUUCGGGGCCGCACGCGUGCUACAAUGGUGGUAACAGCGUGAUUGUCCUUUUCCGACAGGAAUUGGCAAACAGUUGAGAUAUUAUUAUGGCUGGAAUUGAGUGUUGAAAUUUUCCCUCAUGAACGAGGAAUUCCAAGUAAAUGUGAGUCAUUAACUUGCAUUGAUUACGUCCCUGCCCUUUGUACACACCGCCCGUCGCUGCCCGGGACUGAGUUACUUCGAGAAAACUAGGGAUCGUUGGAGUCCGAUGUUCGCAUCUGCUUCGAUGCAAACUAGCUUAAUCGCAGUGGCUUGAACCGGGCAAAAGUCGUAACAAGGUAGCCGUAGGUGAACCUUCGGCUGGAUCAUUACAGUUCCAAACAAAAACCUUGUCGUUUUCGACGCAUUGGAGAGUCGACGCCUGAGAACGUCGUCUCUGCGUUUGCACACUGUAUAUUGUUGUGCUGAUCAAACCUUAACGGCUCCGUUUGGUUUCUGUGGGUCGGCUGAGCGGUCGUGUCGAACGUCCGUGGCCGCGCAUGAUGUCGACCCGGUAUUUCGCGCCUUUCCGCAUUGGCACACACACGCUUUUGUGUGUGUGUGUUGGUGUGAAUGUGCUGUGGAACAGAAUCAAUGAACUCAAGAGGUCGCCAAACAAACACCAAUUAUUCUAAUUCUUUUAAGCUGUGAAAAUAAUAUAUAAGUUAUACCGGUGGAUCACUUGGCUCACGGUUCGAUGAAAAACGCAGUGAAUUGCGAUAAGAAGUACGAAUUACAGAUAUUAUGAGUACCAUGUUUUUGAAUGCAUAUUGCGCUGUUGGGCUUUGCUCUUCGGCAUAUGUGAUUCAGGGUAUUUUCCAUACAACAAGGUUGUUUCCGCCCCGGUGGAGAUAUACCGUUUCAUUACGAGCGUCUUCCGUGUGAGAGCGGUCGACUAACGCGAAUGUAAAUGAAUGAAAAGCAAUGGUGUUGAAGCGACUGCGGAUGCUUUUGCAUUCACGGUUGCGGAAAACGCACGAGAUACGACCGAUCGUGUCCGUCACCACGUCAAAGGCGCAUGUAAAUGAUUCGCUCAUAUGCGUUGCGGUGAAUGUGUUCGACGAUUGUACGUCGGGGGUUGGCGGCUGCUAUUGCGGCGAACCGAUCUGCUCGUGCGGCAUUUGUGUUGCAAUGAAACUACCUGAAUUGCGUAUGAUUACCUGCUGAACUUAAGCAUAUCAGUAAGCAGAGGAAAAGAAACAAACAUGGAUUCCCUGAGUAACUGCGAGUGAAACGGGAUGAGCCCAGCGCUUAAGGCUUCUGCUCGUUUGAGUGGCGGCCGGUGUAGCGUAUAGAGCUUUCGUUUGCUUGUCCGCGGCUGGUCUAAGUUUUGCUGGAAAGCAAUGGCAUAGACGGUUUAACCCCGGUAUGGCCGGCUGCGGUUGGUAAGUGUAGGUUCUUGGAGUCGGGUUGUUUGGAAUCGCAGCCCAAAGCGGGUGGUAAACUUCACCUAAGGCUAAAUAUGACCGUGAGACCGAUAGAAAACAAGUACCGUGAGGGAAAGUUGAAAAGUACUUUGAAAAGAGAGUGCAAGAGAACGUGAAACCGGUAUAAUGGAAGCAUAUGGAGUUGACGUAUCUAGCAUGCAUACAGUUGCUCGGCGUGGCAAUUGCGGCGUUCGUCGUUCCGCAAGGUCGACUGCGUUGUAUUGUUGUUGCGUUGUGUGAUGCAUUUGUGUGCGGAGUGCGCCGAGUUGCGUUGUGGCGUCGGUUGAGACUGUUCGAGAGGACAUGAUUUUCGGAUUGUGAAACCUUGGACGGUGUAGGCCGGUUGCUGCUGCGUAGCUUUGUAGAGAUGUGGGCCUACGUGCGGCGUUGGGUCGGUACCGUUGGUUUGUGUUGUACGCAUGCGUGCGGCGCUUAUGAAUUGUGCCGGCUCGGCGUUGUACUCUGCAUCAUUCUCGGUGUAUAGUCAAUGACCCAUUUGACCCGUCUUGAAACACGGACCAAGGAGUUUAUGGUAUGCGCGAGUUAUUGGGUCGACGAAACCCAAAGGCGAAAUGAAAGUGAGACCUUACUGGUUUGAAUGUGAUCGGCUUCUGUUUCGAUGGUUGUCGAGCAACAUUGCCCCGUUUCGAGGACUUGUCCUGAUGCGGAGGUUGAGCGUAUGCUAUGAGACCCGAAAGAUGGUGAACUAUGCCUGAACAGGAUGAAGCCAGAGGAAACUCUGGUGGAAGUCCGAAGCGGUUCUGACGUGCAAAUCGAUCGUCUGAUUUUGGUAUAGGGGCGCAAGACUAAUCGAACCAUC